ACUCUAGAAAUUAGCUCUUUCGUGGACGAAGGGAGUAAUAGUUAAAAUUACUACUUGAGGAGAAACCUCCGGUAAUUACUAUGCAAACCUAUAAUAAUUGAUUAGGCGAAGAAGGGACGGCCAAGGAUAUAUGAAGUGAUUGGGAGGCACUUUCGUCGACUGUGGCCUUUGUUUGAAGGUGGUACUUGACUCGUUUCAUCUUGUGGAUAAGUGCAUGAACAUUCCCGCCGUAAGGCACUAUUUUUUCCUUUUUUUUUUGGCAAAUGCCAGCGUUUACACAAGUUAAGUUGGAAGACAACUUGUUACGUGGUCGAGUCGGUGUGAAUCCGUUUUACAUACCAAGCAGGAUAUGCCUACGAGUCAUUAACUUGGGUUUUUUUAUUUUUUAUAUCGUUAUUAUAUAAAAGAGACCUUUAUAUAAAAGUAGCGAAACUGUUAGUUGUUGUCUUGAAGCAACGAGUCAAAUGCGUCACUGUUGAUAAAUAAAAAGUGUCGGGCUGGGCUUAACAAAAUCCAUUAAUUUUGACUGAAAAUGGGUGUUGACAAAUGGGUGGUGUGUCAUGUGUCACUUUUUAUUUAUUUUUACCAAACUGGAGAGGCUUUUGGAGCCCCUACGUCACUUUUUAUACGUCAUCAGCAAUAUGGCUAUAGCACUUGUCAGGUCACAAGUGAUGUUGCUUAGUGACGGGCUUUAGUUGCAGCUCGUUACUAUUCCUUUUUUGAGGGAAUGUCCUUCGAUGAGCUUUAUUAAUUCGUAAGAAUAGUUACGUCAUUCUUUAGGAAUUCAAGAAUACACGAGUAGACACAUUGGAUUGUAAUUCUAAUUGAGAAACAUCUUUAGUCCCGGUUUUUCCAACUGGAAUUGGGAAUCCGAGACUAAAGGUCUAAGCUUUUAGUCCCGAGUCAUGCAACUAGAAUUAAAACUCAUCUUGGGAACUAAAAAAUAAUUUAAAUCCUGUAGACCUCCCUCUUGCGCGUGCGAAAUUCGAACCUAAGACUUCUUAUCUCGCACGUAUCUUUCUUACAAUGUCUUGG
Molecule: long non-coding RNA, 1035 nt
Filed under: Sorghum bicolor (sorghum)
Lineage: Eukaryota; Viridiplantae; Streptophyta; Magnoliopsida; Poales; Poaceae
Description: long non-coding RNA (SBIC_LNC004045)
Source: RNAcentral